Molecule: ribosomal RNA, 748 nt
Filed under: uncultured Salinisphaera sp.
Lineage: Bacteria; Pseudomonadati; Pseudomonadota; Gammaproteobacteria; Salinisphaerales; Salinisphaeraceae
Description: bacterial SSU rRNA
Rfam family: Bacterial small subunit ribosomal RNA
Source: RNAcentral
GGGUGAGUAAUGCGUAGAAAUCUGCCCUUUUGUGGAGGAUAACCUGGGGAAACUCAGGCUAAUACUGCAUAAUCUCUACGGAGCAAAGCGGGGGAUCUUCGGACCUCGCGCAGAAGGAUGAGUCUACGUCUGAUUAGCUAGUUGGUGGGGUAAUGGCCUACCAAGGCGACGAUCAGUAGCUGGUCUGAGAGGAUGAUCAGCCACACCGGGACUGAGACACGGCCCGGACUCCUACGGGAGGCAGCAGUGGGGAAUAUUGGACAAUGGGCGAAAGCCUGAUCCAGCCAUGCCGCGUGUGUGAAGAAGGCCUUAGGGUUGUAAAGCACUUUAAGCAGGAAAGAAAAGCGCCGGAUUAAUAAUCCGAGCGUGUUGACGGUACCUGCAGAAUAAGCACCGGCUAACUCCGUGCCAGCAGCCGCGGUAAUACGGAGGGUGCAAGCGUUAAUCGGAAUUACUGGGCGUAAAGCGUGCGUAGGCGGUCGCGUGUGUCGGAUGUGAAAGCCCCGGGCUCAACCUGGGAAUUGCAUUCGAAACUGCGUGACUAGAAUAUGGUAGAGGAAGAUGGAAUUCCACGUGUAGCGGUGAAAUGCGUAGAUAUGUGGAGGAACACCAAUGGCGAAGGCAAUCUUCUGGGCCAAUAUUGACGCUGAGGUACGAAAGCGUGGGUAGCAAACAGGAUUAGAUACCCUGGUAGUCCACGCCGUAAACGAUGAGAACUAGACGUUGGUUGACAUAGUCGAUCAGUGUC